Long non-coding RNA from Salvia hispanica, 1117 nucleotides. RefSeq lists it as uncharacterized. Lineage: Eukaryota; Viridiplantae; Streptophyta; Magnoliopsida; Lamiales; Lamiaceae. The record is from RefSeq and is a predicted model, not a curated record.
CUCCCUCAAAACUUAGGUGUCGUGAAACACACCUUUUCACACACAAACACAUAGUUAUCCCUUAUAGAAUAGCAUAUCUCUCUCUGUCCUCUUCGGUCCAGCUCCAAUCCACUCUCCGGCUCCGAUCAGGACGUAUAUACUCGUCUAUCUCCUAUCUCCUUUCUCCCUUAUUCAUCUUUCACCAGAAAAGUUAAGGCCUAGGGCUUGAAGCACAUCUAAGCUCAAGAAGUUAAUUGCAGUGGAAGAGCUUCUCAUUCCAUCAAGGGCUAAGGGAUUCUCGAGUCUUCGUAAUUGUUUCAGCAAGGGAAAAGUAGACCGAGAGAUUAUGGCACGAUAGCACAUCUGAUUGGCCUGUACAUACUUAUUUUGAACUAAAACUCUAGUGGCAUAUACUUAAACUUUUUGAAGGAGAAAUCUUUUUGUUGGGUAGCGUAACAACACUAGUCAUCGUGCGUGUAUAGAGCUAUAGCUGGUGACUAACGUUGUUUCAUUUAAAAAAGAAAAAAAAACAUGAUAUUUUAUGAUACUUUACUUUAGGAGGGAAAAGUUCGAGAGCUGUUUUAAUUGUCGCUCCUAAGUAUUUUUUUUCUGUAAUUUCUCGUUUGUGUGUUUUAAAGUUCUAAUAAUUAUGUUAAAGUAAGUUUGUUUUUUUUUUCUCUUUUGUGAAGUGUUUUAAUUAUGUUAACCGUAUUUUCUGAGUCGGGUUUGAGCGUUACAUUACAGGUUAUGACUUCAAUCUUAGUACUAAGCGGACUGAAGUAUUUGAUUAACUCAAAGGCAUCCUGGGCCUAACCAUGAAACAACAAUUAUAUAUAUCAAAGAAACUAGUCAAGGAGCCGGAGCUUAUGGAUCUCUUUCGGGGAUUCCCAGAGAUUGCUCAUGGGGCAUUUGUCUUUGACCUUCUGGAAAUUGAUGGGAUGCUUUAGGCAAAGAAGGCAUGAUGGUAUCGUUCUCCGGGUAUUUUAUUUUGGAUAACUAGAUGAGAGUUUUUUUGUCAUUGAUACUACUGAAGAGUUGUCGAAGCAUUUAUACAUGGUGAUGGUAUAUGUUUGGCCACAACUCUUUUCUUUUGUAGAAUUUUUUGUAUCUAUUAAAACCACUCGAACCUUAUGUAUUA